GACGAACGCUGGCGGCGUGCUUAACACAUGCAAGUCGAACGGAAAGGCCCUGCUUUUGUGGGGUGCUCGAGUGGCGAACGGGUGAGUAACACGUGAGUAACCUGCCCUUGACUUUGGGAUAACUUCAGGAAACUGGGGCUAAUACCGGAUAGGAGCUCCUGCUGCAUGGUGGGGGUUGGAAAGUUUCGGCGGUUGGGGAUGGACUCGCGGCUUAUCAGCUUGUUGGUGGGGUAGUGGCUUACCAAGGCUUUGACGGGUAGCCGGCCUGAGAGGGUGACCGGCCACAUUGGGACUGGGAUACGGCCCAGACUCCUACGGGAGGCAGCAGUGGGGAAUAUUGCACGAUGGGCGGAAGCCUGAUGCAGCAACGCCGCGUGCGGGAUGACGGCCUUCGGGUUGUAAACCGCUUUCGCCUGUGACGAAGCGUGAGUGACGGUAAUGGGUAAAGAAGCACCGGCUAACUACGUG
This 468-nucleotide ribosomal RNA is filed under the name uncultured bacterium. RNAcentral describes it as "partial 16S ribosomal RNA". It matches the Rfam family "Bacterial small subunit ribosomal RNA", at positions 28 to 507 of the family's 1533-position model. The record is from RNAcentral.